GGAUUGCGGCUCAGCGGUAGAGCACUCGCCUAGCAUGUGCGAGGCCCCGGGUUGGAUCCUCAGCACCA
RNAcentral lists this transfer RNA (68 nucleotides) under Marmota monax (woodchuck). RNAcentral describes it as "tRNA.Ala". Lineage: Eukaryota; Metazoa; Chordata; Mammalia; Rodentia; Sciuridae. The record is from RNAcentral.